This 820-nucleotide ribosomal RNA is filed under the name Fusiformiascus japonica. RNAcentral describes it as "Diatrypella japonica partial large subunit ribosomal RNA". It matches the Rfam family "Eukaryotic large subunit ribosomal RNA", at positions 76 to 918 of the family's 3401-position model. The record is from RNAcentral. Lineage: Eukaryota; Fungi; Ascomycota; Sordariomycetes; Xylariales; Diatrypaceae.
UGCCCUAGUAACGGCGAGUGAAGCGGCAACAGCUCAAAUUUGAAAUCUGGCCUUCGGGUCCGAGUUGUAAUUUGUAGAGGAUGCUUUUGGUGCAGUGCCUUCCGAGUUCCUUGGAACAGGACGCCUUAGAGGGUGAGAGCCCCGUACGGUUGGACACUAAGCCUCUGUAAAGCUCCUUCGACGAGUCGAGUAGUUUGGGAAUGCUGCUCUAAAUGGGAGGUAAAUUUCUUCUAAAGCUAAAUACCGGCCAGAGACCGAUAGCGCACAAGUAGAGUGAUCGAAAGAUGAAAAGUACUUUGAAAAGAGGGUUAAAUAGCACGUGAAAUUGUUGAAAGGGAAGCGUUUAUGACCAGACCUUUGCCUGGCGGAUCAUCCGGUGUUCUUCACCGGUGCACUUCGCCUGGCUUAGGCCAGCAUCGAUUUCUGUAGGGGGAUAAAGGCCAUGGGAACGUAGCUCUCUUCGGGGAGUGUUAUAGCCCUAGGUGUAAUACCUUUACGGGGAUCGAGGUUCGCGCUUCUGCAAGGAUGCUGGCGUAAUGGUCAUCAACGACCCGUCUUGAAACACGGACCAAGGAGUCGAACAUUUAUGCGAGUGUUUGGGUGUUAAACCCUCACGCGGAAUGAAAGUGAACGGAGGUGAGAGCCCUUUUUUGGGUGCAUCAUCGACCGAUCCUGAUGUAUUCGGAUGGAUUUGAGUAAGAGCAUAACUGUUCGGACCCGAAAGAUGGUGAACUAUGCGUGGNUAGGGUGAAGCCAGAGGAAACUCUGGNGGANCUCGCAGCGGGNNCUGACGUGCAAAUCGAUCGUCAAAUCUGCGCAU